CCUACGGGAUGCACCAGUGGGGAAUACUGCACAAUGGGCGCAAGCCUGAUGCAGCCAUGCCGCGUAUAUGAAGAAGGCCUUCGGGUUGUAAAGUACUUUCAGCGGGGAGGAAGGUGUUGUGGUUAAUAACCGCAGCAAUUGACGUUACCCGCAGAAGAAGCACCGGCUAACUCCGUGCCAGCAGCCGCGGUAAUACGGAGGGUGCAAGCGUUAAUCGGAAUUACUGGGCGUAAAGCGCACGCAGGCGGUCUGUCAAGUCGGAUGUGAAAUCCCCGGGCUCAACCUGGGAACUGCAUUCGAAACUGGCAGGCCAGAGUCUUGUAGAGGGGGGUAGAAUUCCAGGUGUAGCGGUGAAAUGCGUAGAGAUCUGGAGGAAUACCGGUGGCGAAGGCGGCCCCCUGGACAAGGACUGACGCUCAGGUGCGAAAGCGUGGGGAGCAAACAGGAUUAGAUACCCGGGUAGUC
Molecule: ribosomal RNA, 465 nt
Filed under: uncultured bacterium
Lineage: Bacteria
Description: bacterial SSU rRNA
Rfam family: Bacterial small subunit ribosomal RNA
Source: RNAcentral